This 484-nucleotide ribosomal RNA is filed under the name uncultured bacterium. Its description in RNAcentral is "partial 16S ribosomal RNA". It matches the Rfam family "Bacterial small subunit ribosomal RNA", at positions 30 to 507 of the family's 1533-position model. The record is from RNAcentral.
AUUGAACGCUGGCGGCAUGCCUUACACAUGCAAGUCGAACGGAAACAGGGCUCUUGCUGCUGGCUUCAGGGGCGAGGGUGUGAGUAGUGCCUGGACAUGUGCCUGGGAGUGGGGGAUAGCGUCCGGAGACGGGCGAUAAUACCACAUACGUUGUGAGUGAGAGCGUGGGAGAUCUUAGGAAUUCAUGCUCUCGGGUGAGUCGAGGUCGGAUUAGCUAGUUGGUGGGGUAAAGGCCUACCAAGCCGACGAUCCGUAGCUGGUCUGAGAGGAUGACCAGCCACACUGGGACUGAGACACGGCCCAGACUCCUACGGGAGGCAGCAGUGGGGAAUUUUGGACAAUGGGCGCAAGCCUGAUCCAGCAAUGCCGCGUGCGGGAAGAAGGCCUUCGGGUUGUAAACCGCUUUUGUACGGAACGAAAAGGAUCUGGCUAAUACCUGGGGCUGAUGACGGUACCGUAAGAAUAAGCACCGGCUAACUACGUG